CGGGACACGUGGUAUCCUGUCUGAAUAUGGGGGGACCAUCCUCCAAGGCUAAAUACUCCUGACUGACCGAUAGUGAACCAGUACCGUGAGGGAAAGGCGAAAAGAACCCCGGCGAGGGGAGUGAAAAAGAACCUGAAACCGUGUACGUACAAGCAGUGGGAGCCUCUUUAUGGGGUGACUGCGUACCUUUUGUAUAAUGGGUCAGCGACUUAUAUUCUGUAGCAAGGUUAACCGAAUAGGGGAGCCGAAGGGAAACCGAGUCUUAACUGGGCGUUAAGUUGCAGGGUAUAGACCCGAAACCCGGUGAUCUAGCCAUGGGCAGGUUGAAGGUUGGGUAACACUAACUGGAGGACCGAACCGACUAAUGUUGAAAAAUUAGCGGAUGACUUGUGGCUGGGGGUGAAAGGCCAAUCAAACCGGGAGAUAGCUGGUUCUCCCCGAAAGCUAUUUAGGUAGCGCCUCGUGAAUUCAUCUCCGGGGGUAGAGCACUGUUUCGGCAAGGGGGUCAUCCCGACUUACCAACCCGAUGCAAACUGCGAAUACCGGAGAAUGUUAUCACGGGAGACACACGGCGGGUGCUAACGUCCGUCGUGAAGAGGGAAACAACCCAGACCGCCAGCUAAGGUCCCAAAGUCAUGGUUAAGUGGGAAACGAUGUGGGAAGGCCCAGACAGCCAGGAUGUUGGCUUAGAAGCAGCCAUCAUUUAAAGAAAGCGUAAUAGCUCACUGGUCGAGUCGGCCUGCGCGGAAGAUGUAACGGGGCUAAACCAUGCACCGAAGCUGCGGCAGCGACGCUUAUGCGUUGUUGGGUAGGGGAGCGUUCUGUAAGCCUGUGAAGGUGUGCUGUGAGGCAUGCUGGAGGUAUCAGAAGUGCGAAUGCUGACAUAAGUAACGAUAAAGCGGGUGAAAAGCCCGCUCGCCGGAAGACCAAGGGUUCCUGUCCAACGUUAAUCGGGGCAGGGUGAGUCGACCCCUAAGGCGAGGCCGAAAGGCGUAGUCGAUGGGAAACAGGUUAAUAUUCCUGUACUUGGUGUUACUGCGAAGGGGGGACGGAGAAGGCUAUGUUGGCCGGGCGACGGUUGUCCCGGUUUAAGCGUGUAGGCUGGUUUUCCAGGCAAAUCCGGAAAAUCAAGGCUGAGGCGUGAUGACGAGGCACUACGGUGCUGAAGCAACAAAUGCCCUGCUUCCAGGAAAA
This 1194-nucleotide ribosomal RNA is filed under the name Escherichia coli. RNAcentral's name for it is "partial 23S ribosomal RNA". It matches the Rfam family "Bacterial large subunit ribosomal RNA", at positions 418 to 1616 of the family's 2925-position model. The record is from RNAcentral. Lineage: Bacteria; Pseudomonadati; Pseudomonadota; Gammaproteobacteria; Enterobacterales; Enterobacteriaceae.